This 253-nucleotide ribosomal RNA is filed under the name uncultured bacterium. RNAcentral describes it as "partial 16S ribosomal RNA". It matches the Rfam family "Bacterial small subunit ribosomal RNA", at positions 524 to 776 of the family's 1533-position model. The record is from RNAcentral.
UACGUAGGGGGCAAGCGUUGUCCGGAUUUAUUGGGCGUAAAGAGCGUGUAGGCGGCCAGCCAAGUCCGUUGUGAAAACUAGAGGCUUAACCUCUAGACGUCGAUGGAAACUGUUUGGCUAGAGUCCGGAAGAGGAGAAUGGAAUUCCUGGUGUAGCGGUGAAAUGCGCAGAUAUCAGGAAGAACACCCGUGGCUAAGGCGGUUCUCUAGUACGGUACUGACGCUGAGACGCGAAAGCGUGGGGAGCGAACAGG